RNAcentral lists this unclassified non-coding RNA (254 nucleotides) under uncultured Planctomycetia bacterium. Its description in RNAcentral is "contains 16S-23S intergenic spacer region". It matches the Rfam family "Bacterial small subunit ribosomal RNA", at positions 524 to 776 of the family's 1533-position model. The record is from RNAcentral. Lineage: Bacteria; Pseudomonadati; Planctomycetota; Planctomycetia.
GACGAACCGUGCAAACGUUACUCGGAAUCAUUGGGCUUAAAGCGCACGUAGGCGGCAUCAUAAGUUGGAGGUGAAAUCCUAACGGCUCAACCGUAGAACUGCCCCCAAUACUGUGAUGCUUGAGGGAGACAGGGGCGAGUGGAACCAUCAGUGGAGCGGUGAAAUGUGUUGAUAUUGGUGGGAACGCCGGUGGCGAAAGCGGCUCGCUGGAUCUUUUCUGACGCUGAGGUGCGAAAGCUAGGGGAGCGAACGGG